UGGGGAAUUUUGCACAAUGGGGGAAACCCUGAUGCAGCGACGCCGCGUGAUUUAGAAGGCCUUCGGGUUGUAAAAAUCUUUUCUAUGGGAAGAAAAUGACAGUACCAUAGGAAUAAGGACCGGCUAAUUACGUGCCAGCAGCCGCGGUAAUACGUAAGGUCCGAGCGUUGUCCGGAAUCAUUGGGCGUAAAGGGUACGUAGGCGGGUAAGCACGUUAGAAGUGAAAUCCUGUAGCUCAACUACAGUAAGCUUUUAAAACUGCUCAUCUUGAGAUAUGGAAGGGAAAGUGGAAUUCCUAGUGUAGCGGUGAAAUGCGAGGAUAUUAGGAGGAAUACCGGUGGCGAAGGCGACUUUCUGGUCUGUAACUGACGCUGAUGUGCGAAAGCGUGGGGAUCAAACAGG
Molecule: ribosomal RNA, 402 nt
Filed under: Bacteroidota bacterium
Lineage: Bacteria; Pseudomonadati; Bacteroidota
Description: Bacteroidetes bacterium partial 16S ribosomal RNA
Rfam family: Bacterial small subunit ribosomal RNA
Source: RNAcentral